Neltuma alba is the source of this 507-nucleotide long non-coding RNA. RefSeq lists it as uncharacterized. The record is from RefSeq and is a predicted model, not a curated record. NCBI's taxonomy places the organism in Eukaryota, Viridiplantae, Streptophyta, Magnoliopsida, Fabales, Fabaceae. The transcript is spliced from 3 exons.
AAAUGGGGCUUCUGUCUCUCUUGUUUUCACUCUCCAUGGCUUUUGGUGCAUUCUUUUCAGUGGCUUUGGUAUCUGUUCCAACUGUAAUUGUAAGUUCAAAAGGAUUUCUAUUCAGUGUUGUGAGCGAAGAAUUCAGUUUUCAUCUGUUUUAGCACAUCUAUAGCACAUGUUUAGAAUGGCUGGCAUUUAUUGGUGAGUUUUCAUGCCAUGCACAGGCUUUUGGAAGAUUAGGAGUUUCAAUGAAAAAAUUGUCUAAAGUUGCCUCAGAAGAGGUACCGGGAACUUUAUCUUCUCUCAAACUUUCUAGUAUGGAGGUGAACGACUUGGCCCAAGAACUUAGAAAUCUCAGGCAUGAAAUUUCUGGAAUCCGCACGGUAGAGAAUGACAGAGACACUAAAGAUGCAAGAUCCUUCCGGAACAAGGACUCAAUAUCCUAAUUCUGAAUAUCCCCAAUGUUGCCUAGAUAACCACUACGUUCCUCCGCACACCCCAACCAAAAAAAAAAAA